RNAcentral lists this transfer RNA (82 nucleotides) under Escherichia coli. Its description in RNAcentral is "tRNA-OTHER". It matches the Rfam family "tRNA". Rfam says of the family: Transfer RNA (tRNA) molecules are approximately 80 nucleotides in length. Their secondary structure includes four short double-helical elements and three loops (D, anti-codon, and T loops). RNAcentral also lists the same sequence under 1 other name. Lineage: Bacteria; Pseudomonadati; Pseudomonadota; Gammaproteobacteria; Enterobacterales; Enterobacteriaceae. The record is from RNAcentral.
CGGGGUGUAUCUCACCUGACUUCUAAUCAGGCGUUAACCGAGUAAUUGGAGUAUGCAGGUUCGAAUCCUGUCACCCCGGCCA